RNAcentral lists this ribosomal RNA (795 nucleotides) under Triticum aestivum (bread wheat). RNAcentral describes it as "partial small subunit ribosomal RNA". Lineage: Eukaryota; Viridiplantae; Streptophyta; Magnoliopsida; Poales; Poaceae. The record is from RNAcentral.
AUGAGCAUGCUGCCGCCGUGGUCGCUUUGGCUGACGAACCCGAGGAGCUUCACCAGGUGGCGGUGCCGCACCCGGCCCAGGAUCUUCACCUCCCUCGCGAAGCUCUUGUCCUGCAGCAGCAUGUCGCUGUCCAUGUGCACGAACCUCUUCACGGCCACCGUCUCGCCGGUGGGCAGUUCUGCCCUGUACACCGUCCCCGAGCCCCCGGAGCCGACGGCGAAUUGGUCGCUCAAGUUCGCCGUCGCCUCCAUGAUCGCAUCCCACCGGAACUCCCGCCGCGCCGAGCCCUUGAUAAUCAGCUGCCGGUUCGUGUUGCCCUGGGUCGACGAGAACACCGUGCAGUUCACCUCCCCGGAGUGCCGCCCGCGCCGCCGCACUGCCAUCAGCACAAGCACGAUCACUAGGAGCACAAUCGUCAGUGUCACCGCCGCGGACACCAGCGCGAUCGACGCGGAGUGCAUCGUGGACCGGCCGCUGCCGCAGCCUCUCAGAUGGCUGCCGCAGAGCGCAGCAUUGCCGGAGAAGGCGUCCUGCGGCCACCGGGAGAACUCGUCCCCCAGCCUACCAUCCAGCCGAUUGCUAGACAAGUCCAGCUCCACCAAACUGCUCAUCCUGGCGAGCUGCGACGGCACUGUUCCCACCAGAGCAUUGUGAGAGAGGUUCAAAUCUUCCAGCUUGGAGAGAGACCCAAUCGAUGCAGGGAUUAUGCCCACCAGAUUGUUGCUGCUCAAAUCCAGCAAGCUCUGCAACUCUUGCAUCUUGCCGAUGUCAGGUGGAAUCCCGCCCGACAGGUGA